RNAcentral lists this ribosomal RNA (279 nucleotides) under uncultured bacterium. RNAcentral describes it as "partial 16S ribosomal RNA". It matches the Rfam family "Bacterial small subunit ribosomal RNA", at positions 506 to 784 of the family's 1533-position model. The record is from RNAcentral.
UGCCAGCAGCCGCGGUAACACGUACUGUGCGAGCGUUAAUCGGAAUCACUGGGCUUAAAGGGUGCGUAGGCGGUCUCGUAGGUCAGGUGUGAAAUCCCACGGCUCAACCGUGGAACUGCGCUUGAAACCACAAGACUUGAGUGAGAUAGAGGUAAGCGGAACUGAUGGUGGAGCGGUGAAAUGCGUUGAUAUCAUCAGGAACACCGGUGGCGAAAGCGGCUUACUGGGUCUCUACUGACGCUGAGGCACGAAAGCUAGGGGAGCGAACGGGAUUAGAUA